AUGAACGCUGGCGGCGUGCCUAAUACAUGCAAGUCGAGCGAACAGACGAGGAGCUUGCUCCUCUGACGUUAGCGGCGGACGGGUGAGUAACACGUGGAUAACCUACCUAUAAGACUGGGAUAACUUCGGGAAACCGGAGCUAAUACCGGAUAAUAUAUUGAACCGCAUGGUUCAAUAGUGAAAGACGGUUUUGCUGUCACUUAUAGAUGGAUCCGCGCCGCAUUAGCUAGUUGGUAAGGUAACGGCUUACCAAGGCAACGAUGCGUAGCCGACCUGAGAGGGUGAUCGGCCACACUGGAACUGAGACACGGUCCAGACUCCUACGGGAGGCAGCAGUAGGGAAUCUUCCGCAAUGGGCGAAAGCCUGACGGAGCAACGCCGCGUGAGUGAUGAAGGUCUUCGGAUCGUAAAACUCUGUUAUUAGGGAAGAACAAAUGUGUAAGUGACUAUGCACGUCUUGACGGUACCUAAUCAGAAAGCCACGGCUAACUACGUG
RNAcentral lists this ribosomal RNA (496 nucleotides) under uncultured bacterium. RNAcentral's name for it is "partial 16S ribosomal RNA". It matches the Rfam family "Bacterial small subunit ribosomal RNA", at positions 29 to 507 of the family's 1533-position model. The record is from RNAcentral.